RNAcentral lists this ribosomal RNA (519 nucleotides) under uncultured eukaryote. Its description in RNAcentral is "SSU rRNA". It matches the Rfam family "Eukaryotic small subunit ribosomal RNA", at positions 1161 to 1702 of the family's 1831-position model. The record is from RNAcentral.
AGGGCACCACCAGGAGUGGAGCCUGCGGCUUAAUUUGACUCAACACGGGAAAUCUCACCAGGCCCGGACACCGGAAGGAUUGACAGAUUGAGAGCUCUUUCUUGAUUCGGUGGGUGGUGGUGCAUGGCCGUUCUUAGUUGGUGGAGCGAUUUGUCUGGUUAAUUCCGAUAACGAACGAGACUCUGGCCUACUAACUAGACGUUAGAUCCCUUUGUGGGUCUAUCGCAGCUUCUUAGAGGGACGGGCGGCGUUUAGCCGCACGAGAUUGAGCAAUAACAGGUCUGUGAUGCCCUUAGAUGUUCUGGGCUGCACGCGCGCUACACUGAAGGAAUCAGCGUGUGUUCCCUGUCCGAAAGGACUGGGAAACCCGUUGAACCUCCUUCGUGAUGGGGAUUGGGGAUUGCAAUUAUUCCCCAUGAACGAGGAAUUCCCAGUAGGCGCGAGUCAUAAGCUUGCGUCGAUUACGUCCCUGCCCUUUGUACACACCGCCCGUCGCUACUACCGAUCGAGUGAUUUAGU